Molecule: ribosomal RNA, 140 nt
Filed under: uncultured bacterium
Lineage: Bacteria
Description: partial 16S ribosomal RNA
Rfam family: Bacterial small subunit ribosomal RNA
Source: RNAcentral
UGGGGAAUAUUGCACAAUGGGCGCAAGCCUGAUGCAGCAACGCCGCGUGAGGGACGAAGGCCUUCGGGUUGUAAACCUCUUUUAGUAGGGAAGAAGCGAAAGUGGCGGUACCUGCAGAAAAAGCACCGGCUAACUACGUG